GCGGUAUGCAAUGCGGUCGUGUUCGAUAUGUCGACAGUCAUGGAUAAUUCCGGAUGGGCCUCCAUUAAAACUCUCAAUAUCUCUGCAAUAAGGAACUGCUUUGAUUAAGUCCGAUUUCAAUGGUAAGAAGACAGAAAUUUGAGAUGAAAUUAAAUUAAACAUACCCAAAUCGCCCUGUUUUGUUGCAAUGUGAAAAGCAUCAAAUCCAUUUCUUGCUUUGAUCUCAGCAUCAGCCAGAUCGUAAUAUUUCAACAAUUCUCUUACUAAAUCAACGUAUCCGUACUCCGCCGCCACGUAUAACGCUGUUUCCCCGGAAUGAUUCUGCUUUGCCAGUAAUUCUCUCAAAUCCAUCUCAUCGGUGUCCGUCAAAAUUUCCAUCGCCGCCGUUAGAUUUCCGGCUCUCGCAGCGGAAUGUAAUGGAGUGUCGUCUCUUUUUCCCGUCAAUUGCUUCGUCAUCUUCUUCCUCGGCAAACUUGUCUCCGCCGCCGCAGGCGGCACUCUGUUUGAUUCCGACAUCAAAAUCAACGUAUUUUCUCCUCUUUUUCCAAUUUCAAUCACCAAAUUAAACUUUCUUUCUUCAAGAACCCAGAUAGAAACAUCUCAUUUUUGGUCCACGAUGAUCACUUUUAUUGAAAAAACCGGCCAAAGAAAACUAAAGAAGAAUGAAAAGCUCUUAUCAAAGCUCUGUCCUUUGGUUCCUUGAAUCUCAUUCCAAUUCUCUCUUAUGAAUCCUAAAAGCAAAAAUUCCCAAUCAAAACAAACCAAAUCUCAUUCUCCCAUUUACCCCUCAGAAAGAAAAAAAGAAAAAAAGAAAAUCCAAGAAACCAGAUUCUUGGUAUCAAAAUAAUAAAAAAGACAAAAAGAAAGGAAACCCCAUUUACGUAUGGUAAUGAAAAAAGAGGAAUCCCCCCAAAAAAUAACUUUGUGAUCAUGAACUUACAUGGUUAUAUAUACAGAAAAAAGAAAACCAAAGCUUUAUAUCACCAUUAAUGGCGAAAAGAAGAAGACAAAGAAAUAAAAAGGGUUAAGUUCAUAUAUAUUAUGAACCGAUGGAGAGGAGAGGAAGACAGCGCACAUGUAAGCAACAAAUCAUAAACAACUUUUAUUUUUCUUUUUUUCUUUUCUUAAAAAGGUGAAGUAGAGAUAUGUUUUAAGAACAAAAUGGAAAUGGAAAAGGGGUUUUGAAAAAGUUGGUGAUAAUGAAGCAGAAGAUAAAAGUUUUUGAGAUUAAAAAAAAGAAAACCAAAGGAUGAAAUUAAAAUGGAAGAAGAAAGUUGCAAAAAACUUGGGGUUCCCUUACAUUUAAUGGCAUCUCUUUAUAUUUAAAUUUGUUUUUUUAAAAAAAUAACUGAAUUAACAGAACCACGCCCCACUAAAACGAGCGUGUAACCACGCGCAUUAAUAAAUAAGAUAUGACAUUUCCAAAUGAUUACCCCUUCCCUUCCCAUUUUCAAAUAAUCAACACUUUCUCUUUCUUUCUUUCUUACUUUCCUUCUUUCUUUUUGAAAAAUAUAAAUAUUGACUCUUUAUUUUCCUAACCUUUUUUUUUUUUGUUUCUAAACAAUAUGAUAAAUCAUGAUGAGAUGUGAUGAUAGGCUAAAUAAUUGAUACUUUUUUAAUAUUGCCUUAAUUAACGUGGACAAAUAUCAUGAAUUAUUGUUAGGGAAGAAAUAGUAAGUUAACUACUUGUACUGUUUAUUUAAAUUUGGCUUUGCAUGAAUUGUCACACAUAUGGUUUGUGUUCUUAUAUGAAAAUUGGAGAGAUACCUAUUGACAUGACAUGCCCUUUCAGGAGGAUAAAUUAAUUGUGAGGAAAAAUACUUUAGGAGUUAGAUUGAGCUAAAAUGUGUGUAAAAAAUGUUUUAUAUGACAAAUUAUUUCUUAAGUAAUACUUUUGGUGAUAUUUUGGUUUCUUUAUCUCCUAUAUUUACAUUUUAUAUAAAUUUUAGAACAAAUUCACAAAUAGAAGAGUAACUAAAGUAUUUUUAUUAUUAAGUGUGAAUUACUGUAUUACUUUUUUAUAUUACUUAUUAUAUGUUAUAUAUAUACACAAUAGGGCACCGAUGUUAUGUUAUCAAGUUUAGCUUGGAUUUAUUAUGUUUUGAUAUGUGCCACUCAAAUAAUUUAACUAUAUGUUUUUUUCCCCCUUUUUUGUUGUAACGUUGGCUUUAAUUAGGGAGUGUGAAAAAGAAAUUAUUUUAUACAACAAACUUGGGCUACUAAAUUAGAUUUAUUCGAAACUUGAAUAAUUUGUUUUUUUUUUUAAUUUUAUUUUAAAAAAAGGAAAAUUGAUUUGAUUUGAUUUGAUAUGUGAACUGUGAAGAGAGAGAGAGAGACAAAAUUAGUGAUGGUUUUUAUUUCAAUUAUUGUAGAAAGGGACAUCAACCUCAUGGUUGGUUCUUUCAACAUUUUUCUCUUUUUGUCAAUUAAGAUGAAAUUAUUCUAUUUCGAGACGAGAGAAAAAAUAAAGUGGAUUAUUUUAGGUAGAGAGAUAUGUAAUAAAGAAAAAAGAAAGUGAAUUGAAAAAAUAGUUAUGAAGUUAUUCAACCUUCAUAGCUAAAACAAUAAAUAUUAUUUACAAAAACUAAAACAAUAAUAUCAUAUCUUAAAAACCAAUAUUCUUCAUGGUUAAAAAAAUGGGAAGAAAACAAGAUAUUAUCAUAUUUGAUUUUGAAAUUAUAUUUAUAUCUUCAAUUGCUUGUCUAUAUAUAACAACACAACAAACUUGACUUUGCUAUUAUUGGUAUCAACAUAAGAGGUCUCAUACCAAAUGAAUGGAAGUGACUUUUGGUCAUGAAAAUGGAUACAUCUUUUAACUUAGUGGUUAUUAGUAUAUAAUGUCAAAAACUCAAUCCCUGCCUUAUUUUAAAUAUUAUUUUAAUUGUUAGACACAUUGAAAAGCAUGUUUAAUUAAGCUUUGUCCUAAUAUAAAAUUUACAAAGGGUUAAUGAUCAUUAUUAUAUUUACCAUUUUUCUAAUGAUGAACCCUCGCUAUGUGUUGAUCCUUUUGAAUUGGGACAAUUUUGUUUGUCUCUUUCAUUGAAGAUGAAUUAAUAUAUGAUUAUGAUUUGAUGAUGUGAAUUUAAUUAAUUAGUUGUAAUUGUCAUAUUUAUAUUAGUUAUUUAAUAUAUAGUAGUAAUACUAAAAAGAAAUCAAGGAAAUUACAAAAUAAAAUGGUUGGUAGAUCUCAACAUCAUAUAUAUGUGUAUUAUUAUUAUUAAAGUGAAACAUAUUUGCAUUAAUUUAUAUAGAAAAAAGAGUUAAAAUAAUAUUAAGUGGAUAAAUUUAGAGUUAAGACAUAAGAAGUAAGGUAUGGUUUGCAUACAUAAAUACUCUCAUAAUUAAUUUAUUGAAAAAAUAAAAAAGAAAGUGUGUUAGAAUAAUUUUGGGAAUGUGAAAAACAAGUAAAAGCAUUUUUGUAAAGAAAAUGAUGGUUAAAUGUAAAUAUGAAAAGAAAUGAAGUGUGAAUUAGAAGUGGAGGAUUAGAGAAGGAUGGGUUUGAAAAAGGAAGUAAACGUUUAUAUUCAACACAACCACCCCCGGCCCCAACUCCAUCCUCUCUUUAAUAUUCUCUCUUUUGUCUUCUUUUAUUAUUUCUUCAAACAUAUAUAUAAAACUAAAUAAUAUUUAGAUUUCAAUCAUAUAUAUAUAUAUAUAUAUAUAACUAAAUCAUCUUCCAUCAUUUCAAUCAAAUUAAUAAGACUUUGAUACAUUAAAAUAUGCUUAAUUCUGGUGAGAAAAAAAUUAUUAAACAUGUUUAAAUAUUAUUAUUUGAAAACGUUGUCAUUGCUUGUAAUAUCAUCCGCUUGUUUAUUCUAAUUUAAAUAUUUUACAUAGUGUUAUUUAUUUGUUUCUUUUUACAGGUCUAAAUAAUGGACCUUUUUGUUAUUAAUUUUUUUAAGGUCACCUUUUCAACCCUUUUUUUUUUUUAAUUUUAAUUAAAAUGAAAUUAAGGAGUUUGAUUGGUAACUAUAUUUGUAAUUGAUUGAUAAUUGGUUCAACUUGAUAAUAUUAGAAUGUUUAGUGAUAACAAAUGUAUUAAGUGAAAUUUAUAACAAAUUUGUAAUUGUUUAGUCAUAUAUAAAGUGAUAGGGACUUAAUUUCUUGUACAAAUAAAAAGGUAUGGAUGACUGGUUACGUGAGUUUAGAGUACAAAACGUAGUAUAGAAAAUAAAUAUGAAAGGAAGAGUGGAGUGGGGGCCGCGGUUGCCAAUUGGAAUGCCCCACGCGCUUGACCCUCAUUGGCUUUCACUAUCAAACAAAUUAAUUCUCUUUCUUUUCUUCCUUCAUUACAUUUACAAUAUUAAUUUUUAAUUCAAACACUAAACACUAAACACUAAACACUAAACACUAAACACUAAACACCCAACACUCAACACACACACCCACUACUUUCCCUUUUUUAUUUUUAUUUUGUAGUCCAUCCAAAUCUACUCAUGUAUUUACUAAUAAUCUUGUGAUGUGUAAGAAAACAAAAUUCAAAGUAUAUAAUAGUGAAAAUAAAACAUAUGGUAAAUUUAAUAUAGAAACAAAAUAUAGUAAAGGGCGUGGUAUAGAGCCCACAUAUUUCCAUGUGUAAUAAUGGUAUCCUAAUUGGUUUUGGGUAGAAUGAGACACAAACUGAAAAGUGCAUGUGGUUUAUAUAUCCAUUAUCCAAUCAAAUACAAUAUCAUAUUAUAUACAAUACAUAAACUAACAAAUUCCAAGUCCCAACCAACUAUACAUAUAAUAUAUACAUAUAUAUAUGUACAUACAACCAAAUAAACGACCAAAACGAACAGAAUUGGAUUGGCCAUUCAAUCAAACCUCUCUUCACGGAAUAUCACAUUAAUUUAUAUAUAUAUGCAUGUAUGUAUGUAUGAACACUUUAUAAUAAUAGAACCAGCUUAUAUUUGUCUCUCUUUCUGCACUUCAUUAAACUACACCCAAUAUAUAAUCUCCAAUCCAAUUAGAGUCUUAGCUAUUCUCAAUCUCAUGCUAUGUAACAACUCAUAUUUUGCUACAUAUUACAAGUUUGGACACAUGGUUUUUGUUUCAUAAAGGUAAUCUUACUAAACUUUGUUACUUUAACUCACAAAUAUUCAACCCAUUGUUUGGUUUGCACCUUACAAUCAAAAAUGAAAACAUGAAAGGAUUUUAUGAGAUAUAUGUAUGUAUUCGGUUUGGUAUCCUUUUCAACUUUGAAUUUUGAAAAUUAAGCCUACAAAUCUCACUUUUCAUUUAUUAGUUUUCAAGUUUUGUUAACUACCAAUUUUUUUUUUUUUAAAAAAUUCAUUCUUCAUUUAGAUAAGAUUUCAACUCAUAUAAUCAUUAUGAUGCAUGUCAUUACCAAAUAGGACCUUUGAAAUUAGAUUUCAAUUUAAAUAAUUGUUUGAAAUGUGCUUCGUGAUAUAUUAAUGAAUUAUAAAAUAGUUAUCCGCUAUAAAUAAAUUGAAUAUAAAUCACUAUAAAUUAAUUUAGUAGCAUGCUUUAUGUUUAACAAAUUGUAUACUUUUUAUUCUGUAGUAUCAUAUAAUUUAAUAUAUAUAUAUAUAUGAUAUAUUUUAGUUUAGUUUAACAAAUAUAAAAAACACCAAAAUACUUUCUUAAGUUUCUCGUUUGUCUUUUUAAAAUAUAAUUCUACAUCUUUUAAAUUAAAAAAAAAAUAAAUUGCAAUACGAUGAAUACAUUAUCAAAAUUUGCACUGAGACAAAUUUCUAAUAAAGAAUCCAAAUAAUGUAUCUAAUGCAUAUUGGUUUAAUGUGUGGAGGGCUUUCUUACUCAUUCCUUUUCACUUAUCUCAUGAUUGCUCAUAGUGGAUUUUAUUCCAAAAAUAUGAUCUUAAACAAUACUCACACUAUGCAUAUCAUAUCAAUGUGAACUUUACUUUUUGGUUACGAAAGUAUCUCUAUCUUCUCACUUAUUAUUACAUUUUUUGUUCACUUUUUCUAACAUUUCUACUACUAAUGGGUGUAUUUGAGAGUGGUUUUGAGAUUGUCAAAAAUCAUUUUUUUUUCUUAUGUCAAGAUAAUUUUUUCUUCAAAUGAUGGUAUUUGGCAUUAACUAAAAUUGAUUUUAGAAAAACACAAAAUCAUUCAAAUUGAUUUUGGAGAAAUUAAGUGGUUUGCGAUUUUUGUCAGGUGAUUCAAGUCCAUCUCUCCCAAAAUGGUUAUUUAAUUUAGCUUUUGUCAAUUUUAAAUAUUUGAACAAAAUAUAACAAACACAUUGUAUAUCAUUCAAUUGUUUAUAAAACAAACAAUUAUAUAUGUUUUGAAUUUUCUUUCGAUAUCUAUAAAUAAACGGUUUAUAUAUGAACAAUGUAUAUAAGAAUUUAACAACAAAUAAAUAAAAAUAGAUUUUUACCAUAAUUAUUUCUCAAAUAAAAACUACAAUUCACUAAUUGGUUAACCGUAAGUUAAAUUUUGGAACCCAACACAAAGAUUGAAAAUAAAUUCUUAAGUAUAAAAAACCACUUAAAAAAGUGUGAUAGUAAACAUAAAUUGAUUGAUGGUUUAAAAAUCAAUUUUAGAGAAUCAAUUCUACCUGAAUCAUCAAUAUCCAACCAUUACACGCCAUAAUUUAUUUGUGCCAAACAAAGAACUAAAUCUGUGUGUAAUAUAAGAAAAGGAUAAAGUAAUAAAUUAAGCAAUAUUGAGAUUUGUAAUUCAAAAUAGGGUUGUGUUGCUGACAAUCAUAAACUAAGAGAAGAAACUACAAAAGGAAUAAAAGGAUUUGUGGUUAGGCACUCACAAGAAAACAAAUAAUAGUAUGCAAAUUGAGGGGGUUGCCAGCAAAUAGGACCGAAAGUAUUAAAUACUUCAGAACUAAGCUUCAAUAAGAGAAGAGAAUCGUGGCUACUGAAAUCAAUUAAUCCCCAAUUAUAUAUAUAUAUAUAUAUCAAUCAAACUUUUGCAUGGAUAUGUUGGUAAUUAAAAUAUUAUGGACAAAGUAUUUAUUUUUAUGAUUCUGAUAGGAAAGGAGACAAAUAAAUCACAUGGGCUGCUUUCUGUUUGUUUUUGUGUUGGUGUACCCAAUAAUUAAUUAUAAUCUUUUAUCAAAAUAUUUCAUUUUACAAUUCCUGUUUUCCAUUCAUUAAUUUUGAACCCGACAUUUUAAUAUUUCAUGACAUAUCUACACGUCAAUAAAUUAAUAUAGUAUAUUUUUUUUUAUGAAAAUCCCACAAAUGAGAUCAUUGUUAGAGAUUAUGAGGUUCGUGGUUAUCCCUUCCUCUAAUUGUACAAAAAACAUAGUGACAACUAUAAGAACAUAAAUUUUCAUUGUCCUCUUGGUAUGAAAAGUAGUUUUAGGCAAUCUUGAAUCUUCUUUAUGUCUUCUCGCCAAAGUUAAUGAUAUUCUUAAGAAAAGUCAACUCUUACACCAAUAACACAACAAGAAUUUUAAUCUUCUUUCUGUCUUCUUGCCAAAUGAUAUUCUUCAGAAAAGUCAACUCUUACACCAAUAACAUAACAAGAAUUUUGAUGAAAACAUGUAAAAAUAGGUCAACUUACCAUUUAUGUUGUUAUCAUUUUUAUUGGGUAAAAUUUGAUUCUUCUAGUUGAGUUAAAUCUCUUAAAUUAAGAUUUAAAUAUUGACAAGUUUUCUUAAGAUUUAAAUAUUGACAAGUUUUCUUACCUUUACACUUACAUCAUUUAUAUGUAUGCCAAUUAUUUUUUCUUAUCACAUCCAAAGAGAAGAUAUCACAUACUCGAGCAAAUGUAUGAGGUAAGAAACUAUCAAAAUUUGAUAAUCCGAAAUGCAUUUCAAGAUAUUUAGUAAAAUUAAUAUAAGUUUGAUACUAACUUUGAAAUUUGUCUAUUUGUUUUGGUUGUGCAUUACCAUAUUUGCAGCGGUUUGUUGCCUUUUUUUUUUUUCUUUUUUCUAGUUAAAAUUAAUUUAUUUACUUUGAUUUGUUAAGAAUAUUUUCGUAGAUCGAAGAUGUUAUUCCUUCGUUGGCCCUUUGUAUUUGGUAAUUCAUUGUUUUGGAAAGAAGAUUUUGAUAUCAGAACUUUGGAGAAAUUGUGAAUGGAACAAAUUAAAAACAAAUGAGAUGAGAGUAUCUAAAUUAAAUAAAAAUAAAGAGUAGUUUACAAACUGAUUAUUUCUUAACUAAGAUAACUUCAAAGUUAAGGUAUCUUUUUGAAUUAUUAUAAAAAAAUACAUUUGAACCUUUUCCCCCCCUUAAAAUAAGGCCCGAGGGUAUUGGUAUUAUUGAAGUUCAAAAGUAUUUUCUAUGAUUUAAUCUGAUAGAAUCUAAAUAUUAAAUGAAUAUAACAAUAGAAAAGGAUGGAAUUAAAAAAAAUAAAUUAUCUUUUGGAAGAGAAAACUAAGUUACGAAGGUGUUUAUAAAUAGUUGAAGACACAAGUUGUAUUUUCUAUAAAAAGGAACAAAAAUAAAAGAACAAAUGUGAUCCUAAAUUAGUGCGUUACACGCAUAAUAAUGUGGAAGGAAUCUUUCUAAAGGCAACAAACCGCACGUGUGGGAAGCACGGUCGUUCUUCGUAUUUGGUCCAAUUUACUUCAUAUGAAGAUGAAGUGACUUCCCUCAUAUGGGGCCCUCCAUUCUCAUUCAUAAAUAAGCAUUAUCUUUUUUUUUUAAAAAAGUUAAAAAUUAAAAUUUAAAAAUAUGAGGGAAAGAAAAGUCCACAUAUGUUAAAAAUAUUGUAAUGGGUUGUUGACUUUGGACUUUACUUGGCCAAUAAAGGUUGCUUUAUCUUACAUCUACUUGUGUUGUUGUCUAAGCUCUCAGUGUGAGAAACUGAAAAAGAAAAAAACAAUGGUCGCUUUCGCUACUUGAAGCAGUCCAAUUUUUCAGUGGGAGAUUUUGCUUGAUCCAUCAUUUUUAACAAAUGCGCAAAAGUAAACAACUGCUGCUGAUAUCUAUUCUAGAGUCAAACACCUUUGUAUUUUUGAUCAAUUGAGUCUUGACAUUUAUGAAGUGCCUUCGUAUAUAUGGAAUAUUUAUAGGGUCUUCUUGAUCAAAUCAAAAAUUUCAACCACCCUCAGUUGGGCCUAAUGGUAAAAAAAAAAAAAAAGACAUUUUAAUAAAUGAUCAAGAUGUUAUGAGUUCAAUCUAUAUUGGUCGGUUAGCAAAGAGUUAAUUACCCAUUAAUUUGUUUGACACAAAUAUUGUAAAGUUGUGCCACCAUGAGUUAACUCUUGCACCAAUACAUGUAGACAAGAAAUCCUAGGUCCUUGCAUUUAAUUACAAUAAAAAUGUUGUAAGGUUGUUUCGUGAAAUCUAUCAAGGUACGAGUCUGGACACUCACGACUAUUAGAAAAAAAACCAAACUAAACUAAACCAUGAUUUUGUAAUAAUCGAAUUUUGAAUUCUUUUAAAAUCAAAUUUGUCAUCUAAUUAGGUUUGGUUGGUUUUGGUGUUCACUCCUAAUAAUUACCCGAGAUGGGGGGUGAAAUUAUUGUCCUUGAGUUCUAGAAAAUAGUAUUGACUUGAGGGAUGAUAUCAAUGAUGGGGUUGUGGGAUAGUCAAAUGUUUCCAUUUUCUUACGAAGGAAAAACUUAAUCCAUCAGCUAAUCUAAUUUGACAAUCCCUAAAAAUAAGCUCAACGUGUUAUGACUAUUGUAUUGACUAGCAUGUCCCCAGAAUACUAAACUCAUAAAGAAACGUUGCUCUAAAUGCGUGUAUUUUAAUAUGAAGCUGACUAAUAAUGCUAAUAAAAUAUGAGAAAGAAAGAUCAUGAACGCAACAUGCUACACCUUCCAUCAAUAAGUAGAAGCUCUUCUUCCUACUUUUAUAUCUGGUCCAUUUUUAUUGGUGCCUUGAUGACAUACUGAAUAAAUAGAUAGGCCUACUUUUUUUUUUUUUUUUUCAAUGUAGAAAUGACAUGGCAAAAAAAUAAAAAUUCUUAGUGAUAUUUCACCCAUUUUUUGAAGAAAAAGAUAGAAGGCAUAACAAAUAAUCUCGCAGUUUAUACCAGGAAAGAUAAUGCAUACCUAUGUGGGCUUGCAUUAAUCUUUGUUGCUCGACUCCAAGCAUUAAAAUAUAUAAUAAAGGUUGAUUAGUAAUAUCGAAACCUGCAGCACAACAUCCUUCGUACUUUCCUCUAAAUAAAGAAAUCAAUGAAAAUUAACCCAUCAUUAGUGCAUAAUUUAAUGUGUUCUUAUUAAACACAUACAUCUAUUAUAAAGCAUUGGCUAGUUUUUAGGGAAAGGUAAAUUUUAUUUUACAGAUACAAGUCUAUUUAGAUGAGUUGGAAUUGCAUCUUUUCAAGUCUAAAAAAUUAUGUCAUAGUAAGUUUGCAUGCUUACUUCUUGUUGAAGCUUCUGUAUUAAGAUUCCUGGGAGCCCAAAAACUUUCCUUUAACUGCUUUCCAACAUGUUCACCGAGUUUAAUCAUGGAUAAUUCCCAUGAAAUAUGGAAACGGCUGAGAACUUGAUCUAAUCAGCAGUUAUAUUAUUAUCAUCGGCAGCUUGUAGCAUCAGCUUGUAGAGAUAAAAUCCGCCAUGAUGGCAGCCCGGCAUUUUCAACGUCAUGUUCUCUACAUCAACCUGAAAAAGGUGAACUCAUAAAUUGGGGAUUCUAAAAACCAAUUUGUGAAAAAAAAAUGUUAAGAUGUGCUCACAAUUCUAGCACCAUUAUUUCAUAGUCCUAGCCAAAAGUCGAUGGAUUAAAUAAAAUUCGGAAUCUUUAAUGAGGAAGAUUUGAGAGGUGACUUGAUAAAACCGUCUUCUUUACGGUUGCAUCAUUAAUGCAAUUUUGAAUAUGAGAAUUGUUAGCUUCCGGUGCCCUUGUAGGUUUUAGAUCUUCAUGAAAGUUGUAUUACCUGUUCAACAAAACAGGUCUUGACGUUGAAUCUUUCAGGAAGGGAUUGGGCAGAAAAGUAUCGACUAACUAAUAGGUGGAAUGAAUUUCAAAGUAGGCUCUCAAGGGGAUUUUUUUCUAGAGCUGGAAUGCAAUCGGGAUAAAUGGGACUGAGAAGUGUUGGAAAGCGUGAGAAUAAAAAACUGAACUAAAAUGAGAUAGUGAAGCAUGAAAACAGUGCAAAAGAGAUUUGGAUUGAAAACUAUCCGAACGAAAUGAGUUGUGUGUUACAAAUUGAGGUCAAAAUGUUCAAUCUAAACAUGAGUUUUGGAUUAUAUUAAAUUACAAAUCCAUCCCAUUGCAGGCCACUAAACAAUCUCCAAGUGUCCACCAAAGAUUCUCUGUUUCAACUUCUAUACACCAUGUCUCGCUUCAUCUUUAAUUUGUCAUUUGACAAUGACAUAUAAAGAACAGCCCACUAGAUAGAAGCCCCAAAGCAUAGAAAAGGCUUCAAGUCCAAAAGAUAACAUGAUUACAAUAGGCCUUAUAGGCCACCGCCCAUAAGGAAGAAUUAAAACAUAUAUUAUCUCAAAGAACAUCCUCUGAAGCCAUUUUGAAUGCUCUUGGAGGACAAUUAACUUGAGCUCAACAACUAAUGAAAGCUUCAAUAGGGUGUAUCGAAGGGACGUGAAUUCUUGUUUAGGGCUUGCCGUUUCUAGAAACUAUAACCAGAUCGACACAAGAGUGUAUCAUUAGCUAGGUUAAUAAGUAAAGCAGGUGCCAAAAGAUAUUAUGGUCCUUCGUUAGUUUUGGAAAGGUAACCUUCAAACUUGACUUACCUACAACAGCAGGGAACCACUCCGCUUCCAUGUUAACAGCUAUAACUCACCAAGGACACCAACUUGAACCCAACACAGCAUUACCCCUUGGCUUGAUUCGAAUUUUGAGCUUCAACAAUAACCAGAAAAAUGUUGGAAGUUUGUCCCUCAACACAUUACAAAGGGAACUGAAUGUCCUUAUUCAGUGGAAGAAAUAUAAUGAGAAGAAACUAUAUGUGAAGAAUUCAAGUGACCGUCCAAGCUAUUUCCCAAUUUCCACCUUCAAACCUUCAAAAACAGCGUGAAACUCUAGGUCUCUCCUAUUGAAAAAAUUAAAGAAACAUUGUCUCCAAUGCAUUGAACAUGAUCAAAGAAAGUUACUCUGUCAUCCAUACAGGCAAGAAUAGAAGCUUCAGAAGGGCAUGGGAGUUUUUUCCUUAUGUAAACUCUGAUGGUAAUAAAAAAUGAAGAGAUAGGGACACACGAAGGGAAAAUAGUAAGCAUGAAGAGGGUGAGUGGAGAGGAGUCAAUGGCGUUAGGAUCUCUAACUUCAUUUUGGAAAGCAAAAGACCCCUCAAAUGUAAGGUAGUUUUGUAAGUAUUCCUUGCGAAUGAUAUUAAAUUAACUUCCCUAGCUCUAUAAUCAUAAUUCAUGUAUGUUUCAGCUUCAAAC
This 12228-nucleotide long non-coding RNA is filed under the name Cucumis sativus (cucumber). RNAcentral's name for it is "long non-coding RNA (CSAT_LNC002365)". The record is from RNAcentral. Lineage: Eukaryota; Viridiplantae; Streptophyta; Magnoliopsida; Cucurbitales; Cucurbitaceae.